CUGUCGGGCCUUCGGGCUCGGCGGCCAAGCGAAAGUGAUAAGUAUCCCACCUGGGGAGUACGUUCGCAAGAAUGAAACUCAAAGGAAUUGACGGGGGCCCGCACAAGCGGUGGAGCAUGUGGUUUAAUUCGAUGAUACGCGAGGAACCUUACCAGGGCUUAAAUGUAGUGGGACAGGCUUAGAGAUAGGCUUUUCUUCGGACUCAUUACAAGGUGCUGCAUGGUUGUCGUCAGCUCGUGCCGUGAGGUGUCAGGUUAAGUCCUAUAACGAGCGCAACCCCUACCGUUAGUUGCCAGCGAGUCAAGUCGGGGACUCUAACGGGACUGCCGGUGCAAACCGUGAGGAAGGUGGGGACGACGUCAAAUCAUCACGGCCCUUACGUCCUGGGCCACACACGUGCUACAAUGGCCGGUACAGAGGGAAGCCACCCCGCGAGGGGGAGCGGAUCUAUAAAACCGGUCACAGUUCGGAUCGGGGUCUGCAACUCGACCCCGUGAAGCUGGAAUCGCUAGUAAUCGGAUAUCAGCCAUGAUCCGGUGAAUACGUUCCCGGGCCUUGUACACACCGCCCGUCAAGCCAUGGAAGCCGGGAGUGCCUGAAGUCCGUCACCGCAAGGAGCGGCCUAGGGCAAAAUCGGUAA
RNAcentral lists this ribosomal RNA (640 nucleotides) under bacterium w3cb46. RNAcentral's name for it is "bacterial SSU rRNA". It matches the Rfam family "Bacterial small subunit ribosomal RNA", at positions 820 to 1474 of the family's 1533-position model. The record is from RNAcentral.